This 1061-nucleotide ribosomal RNA is filed under the name Bacillus sp. (in: firmicutes). RNAcentral's name for it is "bacterial SSU rRNA". It matches the Rfam family "Bacterial small subunit ribosomal RNA", at positions 50 to 1097 of the family's 1533-position model. Lineage: Bacteria; Bacillati; Bacillota; Bacilli; Caryophanales; Bacillaceae. The record is from RNAcentral.
UCUAUCUGCAGUCGAGCGGACGAUCGGAGCUUGCUCCCUGAUGUUAGCGGCGGACGGGUGAGUAACACGUGGGUAACCUGCCUGUAAGACUGGGAUAACUCCGGGAAACCGGGGCUAAUACCGGAUGGUUGUUUGAACCGCAUGGUUCAAACAUAAAAGGUGGCUUCGGCUACCACUUACAGAUGGACCCGCGGCGCAUUAGCUAGUUGGUGAAGUAACGGCUCACCAAGGCAACGAUGCGUAGCCGACCUGAGAGGGUGAUCGGCCACACUGGGACUGAGACACGGCCCAGACUCCUACGGGAGGCAGCAGUAGGGAAUCUUCCGCAAUGGACGAAAGUCUGACGGAGCAACGCCGCGUGAGUGAUGAAGGUUUUCGGAUCGUAAAGCUCUGUUGUUAGGGAAGAACAAGUACCGUUCGAAUAGGGCGGUACCUUGACGGUACCUAACCAGAAAGCCACGGCUAACUACGUGCCAGCCGCCGGUAGUAUAGGUGGCAAGCGUUGUACGGAAUUAUUGGGCGGUAAAGGGCUCGCACGCGGUUUCUUAAGUCUGAUGAGAAAGCCCCCGGCUCAACCGGGGAGGGUCAUUGGAAACUGGGGAACUUGAGUGCAGAAGAGGAGAGUGGAAUCCCACGUGUAGCGGUGAAAUGCGUAUAGAUGUGGAGGAACACCAGUGGCAUAGGCGACUCUCUGGUCUGUAACUGACGCUGAGGAGCGAAAGCGUGGGGAGCGAACAGGAUUAGAUACCCUGGUAGUCCACGCCGUAAACGAUGAGUGCUAAGUGUUAGGGGGUUUCCGCCCCUUAGUGCUGCAGCUAACGCAUUAAGCACUCCGCCUGGGGAGUACGGUCGCAAGACUGAAACUCAAAGGAAUUGACGGGGGCCCGCACAAGCGGUGGAGCAUGUGGUUUAAUUCGAAGCAACGCGAAGAACCUUACCAGGUCUUGACAUCCUCUGACAAUCCUAGAGAUAGGACGUCCCCUUCGGGGGCAGAGUGACAGGUGGUGCAUGGUUGUCGUCAGCUCGUGUCGUGAGAUGUUGGGUUAAGUCCCGCAACGAGC